GUAUAACAGUGGGACGCAUAAAUCAUCUUCUGCUGAAAACAAGUUGCCCCUAGCACCAUCCUUGAAUUCUUUUUCUGUUCGGCCAUCUGAUAGCAUCAUUAUGAAUAACGGCUUCCACAACGUCCAGGGGCACAGGUUUCCAUAUGAGCAAGGUCAGAAUCCGCAAGCAAAUUCUCAAAGACCUGUCCAGUCAUCACAUGGAGG
This 204-nucleotide unclassified non-coding RNA is filed under the name Hevea brasiliensis (rubber tree). Lineage: Eukaryota; Viridiplantae; Streptophyta; Magnoliopsida; Malpighiales; Euphorbiaceae. The record is from RNAcentral.